UGGGUAUGGAGAUGGAUAUAUCUUUUCUUAUCUGAUCGGAUAUUGGGUAGGAUUUGAAUAUAGGAUAUUAAGUUCAGAUUUGAGGAUGGGUAGUAUAAUAUCCAAUUCAAAUCCUACCCAUUGCCAUCACUAGAUAGAGGUCAUAGGAGAAUAAGAGAGAUAAGGGGAUGGAGCAUUACUAGAACAUUGAAAUGGUGACUGGUGGUUAGCUAUUGACUUUUCUCUAGUUAUGCUGGCAUUGGAGAUGUGGGAAAGUAGGAAAAAAAUGAUAAAGAAAUGAGGCGAUGAAUUAAUAGAUAUGGAUCGAAAUGGGUUGAGCAUAAGUUAGGUAAGCCACUAUCUAUCCCUACCUCAUACUUGCCUUCAGAUGGGGCAA
This 376-nucleotide long non-coding RNA is filed under the name Elaeis guineensis (African oil palm). RNAcentral's name for it is "long non-coding RNA (EGUI_LNC013172)". Lineage: Eukaryota; Viridiplantae; Streptophyta; Magnoliopsida; Arecales; Arecaceae. The record is from RNAcentral.